Long non-coding RNA from Ostrea edulis (European flat oyster), 1151 nucleotides. RefSeq lists it as uncharacterized. The transcript is spliced from 2 exons. Lineage: Eukaryota; Metazoa; Mollusca; Bivalvia; Ostreida; Ostreidae. The record is from RefSeq and is a predicted model, not a curated record.
CUGAGUGUCUGUAUACAUACCACUUUCAAUUCCAUACAGUGUAGUUCAUUAAUACCAACAAUUGUGUAAUUUGAUUAAUUUCCGCUUCCUCUAUAAAGAGAAGCGUAUUUUCAGAUCCUGUUUGAUGGAAUAAUCGUCCAGGAAAGAUGGCGGGAAGAAGAUUACCAGAGACAGAUAUAAAGGGGUGGUGACGAAGGAUUACACUUUUGAACUUCAAAGCAUUUCAAACAAGAUAUAUUGCAAGUUAAUGUAAAGAUAAAGAUCACGAACAGUAAUCAAUCUCAUGACUCCUACAAGGAAUACAAACACGGAACUCUGGACAGAAGUAGGCUCAGGUACCUAGGAGAAGUAAACAUCCCCUGUUGACCGGUCACACCGGCCGUGAGCCUUAUAUCGUCACCGGGUUUACGGAGUAAUCCGUAGUCAAAGUCAUUGUGCAAAGGACUGAUAAAUUUAUCUCCCUAAUGUAUGUAAUAGACGGAAUAGACUCCGAGAAACCAACAUACGUCCACGGCGUCCAGUCGUCUGCUGGUUUCUCCUACGGUAUCAUGUAGCUCGAUUGUCUAGAUGUGAAUAGGACUUAAACUGUUGAGGUUUUUUUUAUGGGCGAAUUCAUAUUUCAUGUUGGUAGUUUUGAUGGUCAUGCCUGGGUAUAUCGUUAAUCCGGAUAACGCUACAAUAGUAGUGUCGCCUGUGUUAUUCAGCACCGUCAGCUGGGAGUGCCAUGGACUGCUCACAAAAGAAUGCCUUUGGUUGUCUUUGGAGGGAAUGUUACGGGUCUUUGCUAUAGAUACGAUGUUAUGCAUCUCUAUGCCAUCCCUUUUAUUCGUAGUAUCACCCAGCGUAUCACCUUUCGGCAAGACAACGCAAGGUCAAACACGUGUCGCUUCCAGCAAUAACAGAAUGCCGCCAUCUUGGAUUGCCCGCUGUUUCUCCUGAUAUUUCACCAACUUGAACAUGUAUGGUAUGAAUACUUCGACAAUGCAUAUAAUAGGACAUCAGACAAUGAGUUGACACUAUGUACCAUGCAUUAUACAGCAAUUGCUGGACAUAAAAAAUACUGACUCUUCUUAACCUUGACCUUAUUCCUGACUGUGAGAUUCUGUUGCCUGUGAUGUUUAUUGUGUUAGUCAUUACAUGUAUUUACAUUG